UGGGAAUAUUGGACAAUGGGGGCAACCCUGAUCCAGCCAUGCCGCGUGAGUGAUGAAGGCCUUCGGGUUGUAAAGCUCUUUUGGCGGGGACGAUGAUGACGGUACCCGCAGAAUAAGCCCCGGCUAACUUCGUGCCAGCAGCCGCGGUAAGACGAAGGGGGCUAGCGUUGUUCGGAAUUACUGGGCGUAAAGCGAGUGUAGGUGGUUGUCCAAGUUGGAUGUGAAAGCCUUGAGCUCAACUCAAGAAAUGCAUUCAGGACUGGAUGGCUAGAGGACCGGAGAGGAUAGUGGAAUUCCCAGUGUAGUGGUGAAAUACGUAGAGAUUGGGAAGAACACCAGUGGCGAAGGCGGCUAUCUGGACGGUUUCUGACACUAAGACUCGAAAGCGUGGGGAGCAAACA
RNAcentral lists this ribosomal RNA (401 nucleotides) under uncultured bacterium. Its description in RNAcentral is "bacterial SSU rRNA". It matches the Rfam family "Bacterial small subunit ribosomal RNA", at positions 356 to 774 of the family's 1533-position model. The record is from RNAcentral.